Molecule: ribosomal RNA, 387 nt
Filed under: uncultured bacterium
Lineage: Bacteria
Description: bacterial SSU rRNA
Rfam family: Bacterial small subunit ribosomal RNA
Source: RNAcentral
AUUGAACGCUGGCGGAAUGCUUUACACAUGCAAGUCGAGCGGCAGCGCGGGGGCAACCCUGGCGGCGAGCGGCGAACGGGUGAGUAACAUAUCGGAACGUACCCAGUCGUGGGGGAUAACUAUCCGAAAGGAUAGCUAAUACCGCAUACGACCUGAGGGUGAAAGCGGGGGACCGUAAGGCCUCGCGCGAUUGGAGCGGCCGAUAUCGGAUUAGCUAGUUGGUGAGGUAAAGGCUCACCAAGGCGACGAUCCGUAGCUGGUCUGAGAGGACGACCAGCCACACUGGAACUGAGACACGGUCCAGACUCCUACGGGAGGCAGCAGUGGGGAAUUUUGGACAAUGGGGGGCAACCCUGAUCCAGCCAUUCCGCGUGAGUGAAGAAGGCC